This 151-nucleotide non-coding RNA is filed under the name uncultured Lachnospira sp. Lineage: Bacteria; Bacillati; Bacillota; Clostridia; Lachnospirales; Lachnospiraceae. The record is from RNAcentral.
UGGUAAAAGCUUAGUAGUUCUUAGUUGUACUAUCAAUAUACAGCGAUGCCCCGACAGGACGUCGGGGCAAGUAAUGAGCGACACGACGUCGUAUUCAUUACGGUCACGUCUGUUUUUAAUACCUAAACAGCACAUCUUAGAACUACUUAGC